Molecule: ribosomal RNA, 428 nt
Filed under: uncultured bacterium
Lineage: Bacteria
Description: bacterial SSU rRNA
Rfam family: Bacterial small subunit ribosomal RNA
Source: RNAcentral
GGGCCCGCACAAGCGGUGGAGCAUGUGGUUUAAUUCGAUGCAACGCGCAGAACCUUACCUGGGUUUGACAUCCUCGGAUCGAUACAGAGAUGUAUUUUCUUCUUCGGAAGUCGAGUGACAGGUGCUGCAUGGCUGUCGUCAGCUCGUGUCGUGAGAUGUUGGGUUAAGUCCCGCAACGAGCGCAACCCUUAUCCUUAGUUGCCAGCGAUUCGGUCGGGGACUCUAAGGAGACUGCCGGUGUCAAGCCGGAGGAAGGUGGGGAUGACGUCAAGUCCUCAUGGCCCUUAUGCCCAGGGCUACACACGUGCUACAAUGGCCGGUACAAAGAGCUGCGAAGCGGUGACGUGGAGCUAAUCUCAAAAAGCCGGUCUCAGUUCGGAUUGGAGUCUGCAACUCGACUCCAUGAAGUCGGAAUUGCUAGUAAUCGC